AUUGAACGCUGGCGGCAUGCCUUACACAUGCAAGUCGAACGGCAGCGCGGGGCAACCUGGCGGCGAGUGGCGAACGGGUGAGUAAUAUAUCGGAACGUGCCCUGGAGUGGGGAUAACGUAGCGAAAGUUACGCUAAUACCGCAUACGAUCUGAGGAUGAAAGCAGGGGACCUUCGGGCCUUGUGCUCCUGGAGCGGCCGAUAUCUGAUUAGCUAGUUGGUGGGGUAAAAGCCUACCAAGGCGACGAUCAGUAGCUGGUCUGAGAGGACGACCAGCCACACUGGAACUGAGACACGGUCCAGACUCCUACGGGAGGCAGCAGUGGGGAAUUUUUGGACAAUGGGGGGCAACCCUGAUCCAGCAAUGCCGCGUGUGUGAAGAAGGCCUCGGUUGUAAG
RNAcentral lists this ribosomal RNA (396 nucleotides) under uncultured bacterium. Its description in RNAcentral is "bacterial SSU rRNA". It matches the Rfam family "Bacterial small subunit ribosomal RNA", at positions 30 to 429 of the family's 1533-position model. The record is from RNAcentral.